UCUCAAAUCGAGUAUUCGGGCUGCAUACUGCUCUGUCGAAACUUCAGAAAAUCAUAACUUCCUCAUACGAAGUCAGAUUUGGGCGUUCUAUAUAUAUUCGGAAACCUCGUUUUGGCCACUACAACUUUAUGCAAAGAUAUCGAGUUUAUUUUACACUUAAAUUUUGACGCUUAUUUUAUUCUUAAUUAAUCACAUCACAUAAUUAAGCAAUUAAGCACAAAACACAUAAUACUCAAAUAAUAAUACGUUCUUAUUAUUUCAAAUUGGGGUUACAAAGGUUAACCUAGACUAUUACAUUGCUAAAAAUGGCAAGCCCAGAAACACGGGCGUUACAAUUCUCUCCACCUUAGAAUGAUUCCGUCCCUGGAAUCACACAUCAACAAGCAACUACGGGUAGCGACUCGUCAUGUCACUCUCCGUCUCCCAGGUGAGAUUUGGCCCAUUCGUGUGUUUCCAUCGGACAAGCACUAACUUAACCAUCUUACGUCGCAAUUUCUUAGUCUUUCGGUCAACAAUUGCCUCCGGUACCUCAAUCAACCUUUUGUUCUCAUCGAUCCUCAACUCCGAAAGUGGAAUUAUGUCGGGAACUUCUCCUGUGAACUUCCUCAAAUAACACACAUGGAAAGUGUUAUGAAUUCCAUUCAGUUCUUCUGGUAGUUCGAGCUUGUAAGCUUGGUUCCCAAUCCUCUAAAGAACUUUAAACGGUCCAAUAAACCUUGGACUUAACUUUCCCCUUUUACCAAAUCUUAUAAGUCCCUUCCACGGCGAGACUUUAAGCAAAACCGAAUCUCCAACUUCAAAAGUCAUCGGUCUUCGCUUUUUGUCAGCAUAGCUCUUUUGACGAUCCUGAGCCGCUAACAUUCUUUCCCUAAUUAUUUUCAACUUUUCAGCAGUUUGAUGGACUAUCUCCGGUCCCAUAAACUGCUUUUCCCCAGCCUCAAGCCAACAAGACGGCGUACGACACUUCUGUCCAUACAAAGCUUGAUAAGGUGCCAUCUUUAUGCUCGAGUGAAAACUAUUAUUAUAGGAAAAUUCUACCAACGGUAAAUGUUCAUCCCAAUUACCUAGGAAUUCCAAGGUACAUGCUCUCAGCAUAUCUUCAAGUGUUUGUAUCGUUCGUUCACUCUGACCAUCAGUCUGCGGAUGGUAAGCUGUACUUAAACACAACUUGGUACCCAAUUCCUCUUGUAGACUUUUCCAAAAUCGUGAGGUGAAACGACUGUCACGAUCCGACACAAUCGUUAACGGAACACCGUGAAGCCUCACAAUUUCCUUCACGUAAGAAUUCGCAAGCUUUUCCAUAGACCAUUUCUCGUUGGCUGCUAUGAAAUGCGCACUCUUAGUGAAUCGAUCAACGACCACCCAAAUCAUGUCGUGACCACUCUUUGUUCUGGGCAGUUUAGUGACAAAAUCCAUAGCAAUGUCUUCCCACUUACCCAUAGGCACAGGUAAUGGUUCUAAACUCCCGUAUGGUUUCUGAUGUUGUGCCUUGACUCUUGCACAAGUCACACACUCGGCCACAUACUUCGCAAUGUCGAGCUUCAUCGUCGGCCACCAAUAAUAGGGUUUCAGGUCCCUAUACAUCUUUGUGCUACCGGGAUGAAUCGAGUACAUGGUUUUGUGAGCUUCUUCCAUCAGAAGAUCUCUGACUCCUCCUGUCUUAGUUAUACAAAUCCGAUCUUGGAACACCUUCAGUCUGUGCCUGUUUACACCGAACACCAACGUUUUGCCCAAACGUUCCUCCUUUCGGUCAUUCUUGUCAGAAGCUUCGCUUUGAGCUUUCUUGAUAAUUUCCAAAAUAGUCGAGACAACUUCAAUUCUCAAUGCUCUUGGCCUUCUCCUUUCAAGAUUGACUUUCCGACUGAGAGCAUCAGCAACAACAUUUGCUUUACCGGGGUGGUAAAGUAUCUCACAAUCGUAGUCUUUAAGUAAUUCCAGCCAGCGUCGUUGCCUCAUAUUCAAUUCUUUCUGACUAAAGAGAUAUUGGAGACUCUUAUGAUCAGUGAAAAGUUUGCACUUUGUGCCAUAGAGGUAAUGCCUCCAUAUUUUCAGUGCGAAAACUACCGCUGCCAACUCCAAAUCAUGAGUCGGGUNACCGGGGUGGUAAAGUAUCUCACUGUCGUAGUCUUUAAGUAACUCUAGCCAGCAUCGUUGUCUCAUAUUCAAUUCCUUUUUGACUAAAGAGAUAUUGGAGACUCUUAUGAUCAAUGAAAAGUUUGCACUUCGUGCCAUAGAGGUAAUGCCACCAUAUUUGCAGAGCAAAAGCUACCGCUACCAACUCCAAAUCAUGAGUCGGGUAGUUCUUUUCAUGCNAAUGUUGUGCCUUGACUCUUGCAUAAGUCACACACUCGGCCACAUACUUCGCAAUGUCGAGCUUCAUCGUCGGCCACCAAUAAUAGGGUUUCAGGUCCCUAUACAUCUUUGUGCUACCGGGAUGAAUCGAGUACAUGGUUUUGUGAGCUUCUUCCAUCAGAAGAUCUCUGACUCCUCCUGUCUUAGGUAUCCAAAUCCGAUCUUGGAACACCUUCAGUCCGUGACUGUUUACACCGAACACCAACGUUUUGCCCAAACGUUCCUCCUUUCGGUCAUUUUUCUC
RNAcentral lists this long non-coding RNA (2596 nucleotides) under Lactuca sativa (garden lettuce). RNAcentral's name for it is "long non-coding RNA (LSAT_LNC008424)". The record is from RNAcentral. Lineage: Eukaryota; Viridiplantae; Streptophyta; Magnoliopsida; Asterales; Asteraceae.